GACACCACUUUGAUUGGGACAACACAUCCAUCCCAGGACAAGCCAAACAGAGACGCACACGAGAAUUCCUAGAAGCAUGGCAUUCCAACCGGAACUCCAUCAACAAACACAUUGAUUUGGAGCCAAUCUACCAUCUUUUGAGAAAAAGAACAGGAAAUGACAUCACCAACCCAAGGAAACCUAAACAGAUAAAUAGAAAGUGGGACAUAACAACAGUGCUUCGCCGGAGGCUCACUGAUGAUGUUACCUAGAAUGGUGACGAAACGUCUGAAAACUAACCUGCCAGCUCAGCGAGCAAACUCACAUCCAGAGGGUACAAACACAAUAUUGAGGAAACAAUAAUGUAGAACCUGUGUGGGUAGAAUUGAGAAAUACCAAGGGGCAAAAACAUUAGUGGAGAUGGUACCUUGAACACCAAAUAGUAUUAGUGAUGAAGUUGUAGACUUGUUUCCCAAGCCAGUGAGUUUGAUUGCAGGUGUUUCGACACCCUGCUAGGUAGAAUCAUUGGCGCACCUCCAGUGAAACGUCACUGUUCUGUCCCACUUGUUAUUUAUAUGCCUUAGUUUGCUGGGAUGGUUGUUAUCACUUCCCGUUGUGUUUUUCAGUGGGUUGUAUAUUGGGUCCAGUUCAGUAUGGCGUUGAUGGAGUUCUGGUUGGAAUGCCAGGUCUCCAGAAAUCUCCCGGCAUGUCUCUGUUUGGCUUGUGUUAUUAUGGAUGUGUUGUCCCAGUCGAAUUUGUGUUCUUUGUCCAUUGUCUUUGUCUCAGUACACACAGAUAAACAUCUAUUUGACAUAUAGAUUGGAUGCAUCAAAAAGUUGACAAUACCGUGGAGGAGGAAUACCCAGAGUGUGUACAGGGAGGGUAUCCUCAAGGAUAUUCAUGGAUCAGCUUAUGUACAAAGCAAUGAAAGUCUCCUCCCCAUCUCCCAAAUCCAGCAGAACUGAUUGAUCUACUUUCAUUUCCCAUAGGAACAUCAAAAUUAGAAACAGAAUUAGAUUCCGGGGACCCGUAAAGAGUGUGCAGACACCAAGGCAACAGCAGCACCCUGUCAGAGAACAACCGGCCUUUCACUGUUGCACUACAGUUCUUCAACUGAAGGUAUGAUCUGAAAACAUCAAGACUGUCUGCAACAUGAACAUUACUCUUACAGAUGCCGACCGAUCCACUGCCUACUUCAGAUUUCCAGCAGUCAUUUCCUCUGGAAUCCUAUCGGAGCUGCCAUGCGUAAUUCCUGGGCUGCCCGAGUGAAAUGUGGCUGACUGAUUGAAAAGGGCCUGAGCCCAGCUACAGAUAUGGAAUCCCUCGACGGCAAUCUGAAGUGAGAAGAUGAGUGAUGUGAUAGAGAGCGCGUUUCCACAAUGGUCUGGGUCUCGGUGUCUGGUCAGACCAUAGCACAAGGUGGCCCCUUUAAUAACACAUUUAAUCCAGUAAAGAAUACAUUGAAAAGGAACUUCAUUACAUUACAAACACGGAGACACACUGCUAAACUAUUUAGCUUUAUACAAGGGAGUGACAAAAUUCAGUAUUAACAUUCCCUAAUACUUUAUCGUAUUCAGUUUAGAACCAAUGUACAUAAAUUCAAUAUUUGCUCAAAUAAACAUGCCUGUUGUUUUAAACCCUUUGGGCUUCUGUUUAAUUUGAAAAGCAGUAACUUUUUUUUCCUUUUUCAUUUGUGUUUCAUUUUUUUUUUAGGAAAAAAGCACCAAAUAUUCGAAAUCAGUUCAUUCUUCACGAGAACUCCUGUUUUAUUCGUUCACCUCCUUCCCCACCGUGCGUGCGGCUCUCGAUGGUUCAUUUGGCCGCAUGCUCACUGUUGCUCAUGGUUAGUUCAAGGCCCCUUGUAGUCUGGUCCACCACCAGAAGCUAGAUAUGCAGAAGCCCCUAAGCAAGCGGCAGCUUCACAGAAUCCGGGGAUACCGGGAGGUCCAGGCAAACCAGGGCGGCCAGGCUGUCCAGGCACACCGGGCACUCCCUGUUCACCAUCCCUACCAUUUAUACUCCUUCCAGGCAUUCCUGGGGG
Molecule: long non-coding RNA, 2020 nt
Organism: Stegostoma tigrinum
Lineage: Eukaryota; Metazoa; Chordata; Chondrichthyes; Orectolobiformes; Stegostomatidae
Exons: 3
Source: RefSeq, a predicted model, not a curated record